Long non-coding RNA from Junco hyemalis (dark-eyed junco), 1830 nucleotides. The record is from Ensembl. NCBI's taxonomy places the organism in Eukaryota, Metazoa, Chordata, Aves, Passeriformes, Passerellidae.
AGGAGCUCCGUGGCUUUCAUGGUGUAAUUGACUGUGUUUUCUCUCCACCUCUUGAAAGGGGAGGCAGCAUUGGCUCAAAUUAAAAUGCACAGUAAGGGAUGGGGAGCAAGAUCAAUGCAGUGCCUAACUACACCUCCACGAGAGGAUUUCCAUCAGCUGCUCCAGCCCUUACAUCAGAUCUAACAGGGAGACACCAAGGAUCAAAUUCAUCACAUCUAUGUUUAGAUGUUGUGAAUGCUACAUCUAAGGGAGUCAGCAGGACCAAAACAAGCACUCCUAGACUGCAAUUCAUCCCUAUCCUUUAAAUGGCUAUUUUUGGAGGAGAUUGAUAACACCUUAGAAGUUCCUUUUUCUCUCAGAAGACUAGAGCAGGAUUCCUCAGGGAUUGUUGAAGCUGUGGAAGUCCACCAGAGGAGGAAUCCCACCCCAGAUGGAAAGGAUCCCAUCCCUGGAGUUGGGGACUGCAGGGAGGAGGAGGAUUUGGAUUCGAGCACAGCAGCUUGGAACUUGGGACAACCUCAGGGCAGCCGCACUCCUUCCACGUUGUUAUACUACCAUCUACUGAUAAAAGGAUGCUACUUCUCUGGGAUUUUGCCUCCUGUCCUCAUCACCUUGGUGCAACAAGCAGUAUUUCAACUCCAUCAGAGCUGGAAAAUGAGCAUUUAACUGCUGCUCCAAGCCUCAGCCCCUGAACACUCUUUUCUGCAGCACAAACACGCUCACAGAGGCAUCAGCUGCGCUCCAGACCCUUUGUAGGAAACAAGGUUUUGGGGAUUUGUAUUUGUUACUCCCUUUGUUUCUGUCAAAGGAAAAAAGCUAAGGGAUGGGAAACAAUCAUCAAGAGCCCUUUGUCAGCUUGAAGAAAGGAGGCUGGGUUGGUCUUAUACUAAAGUGAGGAAACAUUAAAUUGCUACUUUCAAGAAGCUUGAAAGUGUACUACAUUAAAAAAAAAGUGAGGAAAAGAAAAGCCAACAAUAACAAGUUUAGUUCUAUAAAAUAUUAAUUCCCUCCAUUAUUAAUAGCAGGAAAGGCAGCAGUUUGGCUUUUUGCAGUGUCCUCACACCCCUCUUGGGGUUUCCUUGUUCUUCCAGGGAGCUGUUCCCACUCAGCAUCCAGCACUCACCUGGGAUUACUGCUCUGUUUGACCAAGGAAUGGAGAACACAGAAAAAAGCUGAGGACUCUUUGCAGGGUCUCCAGAUGAAACAAUUGGAAGUGCCAGUUAAUUUCACGUCCUUUACCCUCCUCAGCUAUACCCAAAAUAGGAAGAGUGGCAGGCACCUUUUAGUGUAAUCAGUGCACCACAGUGAUUUGGGGCUAAUUAGAUGUUAGUAAUUAAGAAAAGACUGCUGUGAUGGAUGCUUUCACAGGUUGCAUUGUUGAUUCAAGGAAUAAGCCUGUUCACCUUUAAGUAUUGUCAGUCACAUUUCUUUAGCUGGGAAGAAUGAAAUGUCAAUUUUAUCUUGCUUCAUCACUGCUCUUUAAUCAAUGCCGAUGCAUCACUUCCCACUAUCAUUCCUCCAUCAAACACUGACCUGGAAAUCUGACACUGAGCUUUUCAACACCAGCUCAGCUAAUUAAGAACUUUGUUAUUCCACCUUCCAUCUUUUAAAGGAAAGUAAGAAAAGUGCCAAAGAACCUUUUGCUUUCAUGUGGAAAAGCAUCAGCAGGGGGUUAAUAAUAAUUAUUAAAAUGACUGACAGCUGGGGCUAUGCUGUGAUUUGGCCCAGCCCCGUGGUCCUGCAGACACAGAAAGGUAAAAGCUAAGAAUAGUCAGGCCUUGAAUUACUACAGUGAAUAAAUGGAGUUUUAGGAAAGAAAAUAGCUUCCUA